Molecule: non-coding RNA, 86 nt
Organism: Mycena metata
Lineage: Eukaryota; Fungi; Basidiomycota; Agaricomycetes; Agaricales; Mycenaceae
Source: the annotation of a GenBank genome assembly
GUCUCUGUAGUAUAGUGGUUAGUACUCUCGCUUGUGGCGCAGAAGUCAUACCGCGAGCGACAUCGGUUCGAUUCCGGUCGGGGACA